Molecule: small RNA, 127 nt
Filed under: Marmota monax (woodchuck)
Lineage: Eukaryota; Metazoa; Chordata; Mammalia; Rodentia; Sciuridae
Source: RNAcentral
GCCAAGCAUGGUGGCACAUGCUUGUAAUCCCAGUGACUUGGGAGGUUGUGGCAGGAGGAUCACAAGCUUGAGGCCAGCCUCAGAAACUUAGUGAGGUCCUGAGCAACUUAGUGAGACCCUGUCUCAA